CUGGCCGGGGGGCUGCUGGAGCAGGCUUCCUUAUUCCUGUAAUUAAUUUGUUGUUGUGGUUGUUGUUGUUGUUGUUGUUAUCGUCACCGUCGCCGUUAUUUAGGUUCCACUCGUCGGAGGUUCACCGAAGAAGGAGUCCGGAGGGUGAGGAUUAAGCAGGAAGCCCCCAGCCCGGCAUCACCGGGGAGUUCCGUCCAUCCAGGGAACGGGAGGCGGUGGGAGUUGAGCGGCCCCUCGGGACCGGGGCUGAGCCGCCGCCCUCCCCACCGGCCUGGGCGUGAGAGGGGCUGGGUGCUGCCCGUGAGCCGCGCUCGCCUGCUGCUGGGGGUUUGUGGGACCCCCGGCUUUUGUGUGUAAAUCAGUUCCCACCCAUCCUAACUGCAGAGAAAAUCUUGGAGACCAGAGCUCGAGGACAAAACCCCAAAGGGCACCGUAAGGAGAGGAACGAAGGACAAACAUCCUGCCUGGCACCUGCUGUGCUGAUGGAAAACAUGAACACCAGUUUGCCAUCAGCUGCUGAUCACCAGCUCUGCUGGAGGCUGCCACCUUCGGCAGGCUGUUGGCUAAACCCUUCAUGACAGCGUUCCUUUGCCCUGUCCGCUCCGAGGGAGCUGGUGUGCCACCAUUUCAGCCCUUCGAACCAGCCAGCCUCAGCUUCAUGGUGCUAAACCACAGACCGUGGUCCUGAGUUACUCAGCUGAGCUCUGUGGUGCAGCACAGGAAGGAGGAACACAAUUGUCCUCUUCCUGGACAUGGCAGCACACGAGCUGGUGUCACCUGUUUGCAUCAUCACUCCCAACCUGCUGGUGUCUCCAGCAGAGCAGUGGACGGAAAUUUCGGGUCUCUCCCAAACACUCUCCUGUUAAGUGACAUUCACGGUGAUGAAAACAGGUUGCAAGCACUUUUCUUACUUGUGCCUGGAGGUGAGACCUCCUCACUCAGCUGUCUGAGGCUUGUGGCACCUCUAAUUACCAAGCUGGAAGGAAGAAAAAUGAAUAGAUGAUGCUUAGGAUAAGAGUGCUUAGUACUUAAAAUAUGUUUACCUAAAAUACAGCACUGCUGCUUUAAUUUCCUAAAGUGCUAUCUAUUAUGUGGUGAGGAAAGCAGAAAUGAAGAAACCAGCCCUUACUUCCUCAUGUGGAAGCUAUCCCAGCUUGCCAGAUCAUUAACAAAUGUUUUAAGCAGCGAAGGGAAAAAAUUGUGCCAUUUGCUCAUAAGGCAAAACCAUUUGGACUACUACAAAUUUCAGAGUAAUGUGAAAGGUUUAAGCAAAAUAAGGGACAGCAAAAAGAGAAAACAACUGUAAAUAUUGAUAAGAGUUAAGUAAUAUGGUAGCAAUUAAUACACAUUUCUUAUAUGUUCCAUAACUCUGCGAGACAGGCCUGCAAAAAGAACUACAAUUCAUAGAAAAUAAGCUAAAGCAGUUAAGCCAACAUGAAUCCCUACUGCAGGAAAAUAAUUAAAAUCAAGGAAUUAACAGCACACAAACUCAUAUUUUAGCAGGAAUCAAUUGCUACCAUUUCAAAAGGAGUAAUUUAAAAUCAGAUAAACCUUUAGAACAGAUGUUCAACUACACAGCAAACCCUGCCAAAGGACAUGCGUUAAGGAGGCAUUUAGUGUUCUCUUAUGUGUUUUAAAAUGGCUUCUCCUAAAAGAAUGGUGCAACCAGGGUCUCAGGCUUCUAAGUACUAUUUACCACAUUUGCUCUUACAGAAAAUGUUGUGAUAAAAGCUGAGAGAUUUCCUGGUAAAAGAGAGGUAGCAUUAUUAGCAGCCAUGAGGCUUUUUGCAUUCCCUAAGCUUGGACCAGAUAUGUUUAGGGUUAUCAACUACACACAGCAUCAACACAGCACUUAAAUUUCCCUGCUUCUUGUUUCACAACAGCCCACUUUGACCUCAUCCUGUAAUCAGCACUCACACAUUUUGUAGAAGCAUUUCCAUCUCAAGAUGAUUACUGAAAAUGACAUUAAAAAAAAGAAUGUGAAAUUCACUGGUAAGCAAUCCAUGGUAUUGCUUUUCAAUUCUGACUAUGAUUGCAUGGGAAUGUAUUUCUCAGCAGUCAUUAGAUCAGGGAUUUUGGGUUGGAGCUAUAUUUGAUAUGGAGUGUGGUAAGUUGGUGAAGCUGCUUUGAUCGACAGUUGUCAUCAUUUGAGCAGAAAAUUAAUAUGAACAUAUUUGUUUGCAGACACCCAGAGUCAAGUAACUGGAGGAAUCUGUGGAUUCAACUAACCUACACAAUGUAAAACAGAAACCCAUUCAAAUACUGUUCAUAAUUUUUUCUAAUGCACCUUUAAUAUUACCUUCAACUUUCAAACCUAAAGCUAGCAGAUUUUCCAGUUAGUCCAAGGUAAAGUAUUCAAUUUUUUGGAUGUACCUAGUUCAAAUAUGCCAGAUCUCUCCAAUUUCCUACUUAUGUGUUAGAUUUCCCAUGACAAUAGCUUGUCAGAAAAUGUGAAUGAGUCAUAACUCCUAAGCCCUGUGAAACAAUUUACAGGGAUUUAGAAAUAGGCAGGGAUUAUCACAGUUCACACACAAAAUUAAUACCACCUUUUUCAAAUUCUAGCAGCAUUCAUUCAAGCAAUAUUCUUGCUUUGCUUUGAAAAUUAUGUAGCUCUUUAUCCCGGUUUUAGCAGUCAUGUUUUUUGUACAAAAAUUCCAGCAAGGAUAUUAAUAGCCUCCUUAAUUAUUAAAAACAACAAGUAAGAUGCUCCCUAUGCCAUAGGAAAUUCUAGCUUCUCUAGAUUUCAAUUUACUAUGUUUAUGAAGAUGGUCAAACACUGAAUGAAAAACUCAGUGGAUCUAUACAAUAUGAACAGAAAUUAUUCAGAAGUUAGAUUAUUAGACCUAAUUUUCUUUUUUAUGCAGGAAAACCAAGAAGCUGUACUUCAAAAAGGCAUGCAUUAGGCCCAUAAUGGGAGAAGUACUGAAAUGGAAGCAAAUAGAUGGAAGUGAUUACUUUAAUUUCCAAAUAUUAAAUACAAAUAUUUAAAUGUAAUUUCUGCAGGAUGCCCAGCAAGCAAAACCCAUUAGAACUUUGAGUCUCUCAGACAGCACUUUUAGAGAUCUCUGCUGUAUAGUUUUUCUUGUGUCUCAGCAGACUUUCAUCUGAUGUUCCUAAUGAGAUUAAAUGCAUGAAAAUACACUUACUCAGUUUUUCUGGACUACAGCAAUGGCUGUGUUUCCUAUAAUGAUGUUGAAUGUCCUUUUCAGCUACUAAUACCAAGUCUUUGACAGUAAGGCAAGGAAUGUCCCUUCAUCUGGGUGAAAUGCUGACCUCACCCAGUGGUGGAGGUGGAGUUUUGUCAUUGAUUUCAGUAGGUCCAAGAUUUCCCUGCAUCUGGUAUAAAAUCACAGCCAUUCUUCAUGACAAGUAAAUAUAUAGUAAUGGCACAAAAGAUUCUAAAUUCAGAAUGAAAUUGGAAUUAACUGUGACAAAACCAUGUUGCACAAAAUCUUUACAUUCAGUAAGAUUUCAGAAGAAUUGCUUUGAUCUUGUGUUUCAUAAAGGCAUCAAGAGAGGUUUAAUACCUUUUGUAUUUAUAAGGUAUUUAUCUAAACUUUUUAUGUUCAUGUGCUACACUGAAAAUCUUAGGCCAUUUGUCAAUCUUUUAAUCAGUAAAUUAUAUGGUGAUAAAAACCCCCUCCCAUGUACAAGUUGUCAUCCUGCCUUCCUUAUAGAUUGUUGUUGCAUUUUAACAAUUUAACUCAAAUAAACAGUCUCUGAAAAGGAAAAGUUCAGAUUAUCAGUGAGAAAAAAUGGUUUCAGCUUCCAAAGGGUAUUCAGAGCAUAGGAGUUGAAAAGGGUUUUGUUUUAUGGGUUUUGUUUUGUUUUAAUGUGGAUCUCCAGAAAGUUGCAGAACCGCAUCUCUUUCAAAAGUUUCUGAUGAACACUAGGAUCCAGGUUCUCACAUGUAAAACCUCUAUGUUUAUGUGGGGUUUUGUUUGGUUGUUUCAGGUUUUUGGGUUUUUUUUAAUCUAGGAAAAGUAUAAUUUGAUCAAAUUCUUGCCCCACAUUAUGCUAGCAUACUGCUUUGGACUUCAGUGAGGAAGAAGCUUUAUCUUACCCAGAUUAGGUUGAUAUAAAGGGCAUUCUACCUCCAAAAUUGUUGCUAAAGUAUUGAAAUAAUUACCUUUUUUUUCUUGCCUUCUUUCUUAAAUUGCUGGAUUUUGCUCCUGCCCUGCCACCUAGCAGCCUGCCUUUGGAAAACAUAACUCAAUGUCUUCUUAAAAUUCUGUAAGGAAGCUUAUUCAAACAGAAGAUGUUUACCUCUUGUCUAAGGACACUAAGAAAUUCCAUACCCUCCAAAAUUAACCACUGGAAAGCAUAUAAAACAUGACAAAACAGCACAUCUCUAGAUCACCUUUUAGAGUUGUUAGCACUUGAACAUUACAUGUCUGAGUCAUUAGAUUUUUCCCCCCUUCCUGUUUCCCCCCUCUACACCAUUAGAUUUUUUUCCUCGUUGGAAGUGCAACAUGAAAAUGGAAAACAACAUGAACUUGUACCCACAUUAAA
Long non-coding RNA from Cyanistes caeruleus (blue tit), 4512 nucleotides. RefSeq lists it as uncharacterized. The record is from RefSeq and is a predicted model, not a curated record. Lineage: Eukaryota; Metazoa; Chordata; Aves; Passeriformes; Paridae.